GCGCAGCAGUCGCGAAACUUUACAAUGUGCGAAAGCACGAUAAGGGAACUCUGAGUGCCUCCUAAGGAGGCUGUUCAGGUGUCUAAAAGCACCUGAAGGAAGGGCUGGGUAAGACCGGUGCCAGCCGCCGCGGUAACACCGGCAGCCCAAGUGGUAGCCACGUUUAUUGGGUCUAAAGCGUCCGUAGCCGGCUGGGUAAGUUCCUUGGGAAAUUUGGCUGCUUAACAGUCAAGCUUUCAGGGAAUACUGCCCGGCUUGGGACCGGGAGAGGUCAGAGGUACUCCAGGGGUAGGGGUGAAAUCCAUUAAUCCUUGGGGGACCACCGGUAGCGAAGGCGUCUGACCAGACCGGGUCCGACGGUGAGGGACGAAGGCUAGGGGGCGCGAACCGGAUUAGAUACCCGGGUAGU
Molecule: ribosomal RNA, 409 nt
Filed under: uncultured microorganism
Description: bacterial SSU rRNA
Rfam family: Archaeal small subunit ribosomal RNA
Source: RNAcentral